UGGUGCCGUUAGUUCGUCAAGUUUACAGAAAGUUGUAAGACUGGUAUUUCACAUUUUGAAGUUUAAAUUGAUGAUAGAUUAUAAAUGGGACAUGCCGAGUCUGCUUUAAAGACUACAUAUGAUUCAGGGCUCUGAAGUUGAUGAAGUAGCAUGAUGUCUUCUCUUCGAAGAUGAUGUCUUUUUUUUAUCUUUUCUAGAAAAUGAACUGGACUUCUUCCGGGAGCUGCAGGGAGACAAAAAGUUCUCUGAUUCUGCAACUCUCUUGCAGCCAACACUAAGAAUCCAUCCACUUUUUCCCAAAUCCUUAGUUUGCUGCUUCCUAUUGAUGGAAACAAGCUUCUUACAGUCUCUCUCGAAAAGGUACUCCUCCAACUCGAAAGGCUCCUGUUGCUCUUGCAGAAGCUGUCUCAAUGGUGAUCUUGGGGUCAUGGAUGCUAUGAAGAAGAAAGGUUGAAAUGCAAGUAGAGAAUGGAAGAACAUAUAAUAAUUACAAAGACAAUUCAGGUUUAGUUGGAGGAGAGGAUUAUGUGGUGCAGAUUAAUAAAUCAUGGAUAGAUCAGAAAAAGCCUACCUGUCAGAAUCUGAUUUAUCAUUGCCUUGAAACAGACUGAGAUACCGAAGAAGAGCGAGACACACACGCAACACAACAGUUACUAGAGAUAUACGGAGGAUCUCAUUACAACAAUGCAGGUGCCUUAGCUCCAUUUGGUCAAUGAUUAACUGACCAUUUGAACUGAUAUAAGAAAAAGAACAGAAAAAAAAAAAGGUACAGUAGUUUUGGUUGUCGUCAGAAAGGCUACAGAGAGCCUAUUUAUGGUGUUUGAAAGGCAGUGGUCCAGAGGCAAUUGGUUCAUUGUGAGGAGUCUGAUUAACAUGGAAAUCUGAGGAAAUUUAUUGAUAUUCCCAGUUGGCCAGCAAUGGCCACAAGAAAUCUGUUCUUUUCUUGUAUCAUUUUUGAAGUUUAAUUUAGAGUUCCAUAGUUAAAGUGGAAAUUGAUGGGAGUUUGUUUUUUAUCAUGGCCUCCCCUUCUGGCCCCGACCCCAUCUUUGGAUUUCUGUGACUCUAAUAAGAUCCUAUAUUCUGAGACAUUAUUUUCCUACGGAUACAACAAAAUUAUGUUUAUGUUUGCUUCCCUUUGAACUUGUUACUCUAUUUUUUAUUUCAGAAAAGAACAAAAAUUAUUUAUUUUGCGUGGACUGUGUAUUAUUUUUUAUGAUUGAGAGAUGAAUAUCUCAUUCUCACUGCUAUUAGUGUGUACUUUGAGAUACU
Molecule: long non-coding RNA, 1269 nt
Organism: Cucurbita maxima (winter squash)
Lineage: Eukaryota; Viridiplantae; Streptophyta; Magnoliopsida; Cucurbitales; Cucurbitaceae
Exons: 5
Source: RefSeq, a predicted model, not a curated record